RNAcentral lists this non-coding RNA (34 nucleotides) under Mus musculus (house mouse). Lineage: Eukaryota; Metazoa; Chordata; Mammalia; Rodentia; Muridae. The record is from RNAcentral.
AGAGCGAAAGCAUUUGCCAAGAAUGUUUUCAUUA